This 324-nucleotide ribosomal RNA is filed under the name uncultured eukaryote. RNAcentral describes it as "partial 18S ribosomal RNA". It matches the Rfam family "Eukaryotic small subunit ribosomal RNA", at positions 1470 to 1796 of the family's 1831-position model. The record is from RNAcentral.
CCCUUAGAUGUUCUGGGCCGCACGCGCGCUACACUGAUGCAUUCAACGAGUUUCUUCCUGGUCCGAGAGGAAUGGGUAACCUUUUGAAAGUGCAUCGUGAUAGGGAUAGACUAUUGCAAUUAUUGGUCUUCAACGAGGAAUUCCUAGUAGACGUAGUUCAUCAGACUGCAUCGAUUACGUCCCUGCCCUUUGUACACACCUCCCGUCGCUCCUACCGAUUGAAUGCUCAGGUGAGCCAUUCGGACUUUCAUCAUGCUGGUUUCCAGUUUUGAUGAAGGAAAGUCUUGCGAACCUUAUCAUUUAGAGGAAGGAGAAGUCGUAACA